GGAGCGUCAGGAAAGCAGAAAGUACAACCGCUUGGAAUUCUGCGCCAGCGCCACGUAGAUCGGUAUUGACGUGACUCCUUUAGUCUUUUCGCUGGACAAGUCUUCGCUUAAGACUGGGGGGCUUGUGUACCGCCCUGGUAGUCGGAAAUGAUGACGUGGCAUCAAGCUACUGUAUAGGCGUGUUGAUGGGACGCCUGGUUGGCAGAAGGGAAGGAAGUCGGGGGGCUCGUGUAGUCGCCAGUUAUUAAGUUGGCGUGCUCCGAUCUC
RNAcentral lists this long non-coding RNA (267 nucleotides) under Phaseolus vulgaris (common bean). RNAcentral's name for it is "long non-coding RNA (PVUL_LNC003153)". Lineage: Eukaryota; Viridiplantae; Streptophyta; Magnoliopsida; Fabales; Fabaceae. The record is from RNAcentral.